RNAcentral lists this ribosomal RNA (425 nucleotides) under uncultured bacterium. Its description in RNAcentral is "partial 16S ribosomal RNA". It matches the Rfam family "Bacterial small subunit ribosomal RNA", at positions 354 to 796 of the family's 1533-position model. The record is from RNAcentral.
GUGGGGAAUCUUGCGCAAUGGGCGAAAGCCUGACGCAGCCAUGCCGCGUGAAUGAUGAAGGUCUUAGGAUUGUAAAAUUCUUUCACCGGGGACGAUAAUGACGGUACCCGGAGAAGAAGCUCCGGCUAACUUCGUGCCAGCAGCCGCGGUAAUACGAAGGGGGCUAGCGUUGCUCGGAAUUACUGGGCGUAAAGGGCGCGUAGGCGGACAGCUUAGUCAGAGGUGAAAGCCCAGGGCUCAACCUUGGAAUUGCCUUUGAGACUGGCUGUCUUGAGUUUGGGAGAGGUGAGUGGAACUCCGAGUGUAGAGGUGAAAUUCGUAGAUAUUCGGAAGAACACCAGUGGCGAAGGCGACUCACUGGCCCAAUACUGACGCUGAGGCGCGAAAGCGUGGGGAGCAAACAGGAUUAGAAACCCUAGUAGUCC